Myotis brandtii (Brandt's bat) is the source of this 74-nucleotide non-coding RNA. Lineage: Eukaryota; Metazoa; Chordata; Mammalia; Chiroptera; Vespertilionidae. The record is from Rfam.
ACCUGGAUGGCUCGGUUGGAUGGAGCAUUGUCUUGUACACCAAAAAGUUUCGGGUUCAAUUCCUGGUCCGGGCU